RNAcentral lists this ribosomal RNA (209 nucleotides) under uncultured bacterium. RNAcentral describes it as "partial 16S ribosomal RNA". It matches the Rfam family "Bacterial small subunit ribosomal RNA", at positions 1292 to 1500 of the family's 1533-position model. The record is from RNAcentral.
UUCGGACUGCAGUCUGCAACUCGACUGCACGAAGCUGGAAUCGCUAGUAAUCGCGAAUCAGAAUGUCGCGGUGAAUACGUUCCCGGGUCUUGUACACACCGCCCGUCACACCAUGGGAGUCGGUAACGCCCGAAGUCAGUGACCCAGCCGUAAGGAGGGAGCUGCCGAAGGCGGGACUGGUAACUGGGGUGAAGUCGUAACAAGGUAGC